RNAcentral lists this ribosomal RNA (514 nucleotides) under uncultured bacterium. RNAcentral describes it as "partial 16S ribosomal RNA". It matches the Rfam family "Bacterial small subunit ribosomal RNA", at positions 28 to 523 of the family's 1533-position model. The record is from RNAcentral.
GAUGAACGCUGGCGGCGUGCCUAAUACAUGCAAGUCGAGCGAAUGGAUUAAGAGCUUGCUCUUAUGAAGUUAGCGGCGGACGGGUGAGUAACACGUGAGUAACCUGCCCAUAAGACUGGGAUAACUCCGGGAAACCGGGGCUAAUACCGGAUAACAUUUUGAACCGCAUGGUUCGGAAUUGAAAGGCGGCUUCGGCUGUCCAUUAUGGAUGGACCCGCGUCGCAUUAGCUAGUUGGUGAGGUAACGGCUCACCAGGCAACGAUGCGUAGCCGACCUGAGAGGGUGAUCGGCCACACUGGGACUGAGACACGGCCCAGACUCCUACGGGAGGCAGCAGUAGGGAAUCUUCCGCAAUGGACGAAAGUCUGACGGAGCAACGCCGCGUGAGUGAUGAAGGCUUUCGGGUCGUAAAACUCUGUUGUUAGGGAAGAACAAGUGCUAGUUGAAUAAGCUGACACCUUGACGGUACCUAACCAGAAAGCCACGGCUAACUACGUGCCAGCCGCCGCCGUAA